This 377-nucleotide ribosomal RNA is filed under the name uncultured bacterium. RNAcentral describes it as "bacterial SSU rRNA". It matches the Rfam family "Bacterial small subunit ribosomal RNA", at positions 29 to 410 of the family's 1533-position model. The record is from RNAcentral.
AAUGAACGUUGGCGGCAUGGAUUAGGCAUGCAAGUCGAGCGCGAUAGGUUUGGUGCUUGCAUUAAACCUUGAAAGCGGCGAAAGGGAGAGUAACGCGUAGGAUAUCUGCCCCCGGGACUGGGAUAGCGGUGGGAAACUGCCGGUAAUACCAGAUAAUGUCUCCGGACCAAAGGUGUGAUUCCGCCUGGGGAUGAUCCUGCGUCCUAUUAGCUAGUUGGUAGGGUAAUGGCCUACCAAGGCUUUUGAUGGGUAGCGGGCGUGAGAGCGUGGCCCGUCUCACUGGGACUGAGACACGGCCCAGACUCCUACGGGAGGCAGCAGUGGGGAAUAUUGGACAAUGGGCGCAAGCCUGAUCCAGCAAUGCCGCGUGUGUGAAG